GUAGGUGGCAAGCGUUGUCCGGAAUUAUUGGGCGUAAAGCGCGCGCAGGCGGUUCUUUAAGUCUGAUGUGAAAGCCCACGGCUCAACCGUGGAGGGUCAUUGGAAACUGGAGAACUUGAGUACAGAAGAGGAAAGCGGAAUUCCACGUGUAGCGGUGAAAUGCGUAGAGAUGUGGAGGAACACCAGUGGCGAAGGCGGCUUUCUGGUCUGUAACUGACGCUGAGGCGCGAAAGCGUGGGGGAGCAAACAGGAUUAGAUACCCUGGUAGUCCACGCCGUAAACGAUGAGUGCUAAGUGUUAGGGGGUUUCUGCCCCCCCCUUAGUGCUGCAGCUAACGCAUUAAGCACUCCGCCUGGGGAUACGGCCGCAAGGCUG
Molecule: ribosomal RNA, 375 nt
Filed under: uncultured organism
Description: partial 16S ribosomal RNA
Rfam family: Bacterial small subunit ribosomal RNA
Source: RNAcentral